ACGCGACCCCAGGUCAAGCGAGGCUACCCGCUGAGUUUAAGCAUAUC
Molecule: ribosomal RNA, 47 nt
Filed under: Lophostemon confertus
Lineage: Eukaryota; Viridiplantae; Streptophyta; Magnoliopsida; Myrtales; Myrtaceae
Description: partial 28S ribosomal RNA
Source: RNAcentral